This is a non-coding RNA of Hydra vulgaris (swiftwater hydra), 623 nucleotides long. The record is from RefSeq and is a predicted model, not a curated record. Lineage: Eukaryota; Metazoa; Cnidaria; Hydrozoa; Anthoathecata; Hydridae.
CGCAAAAAAUUUAUUUGGAUUUGAGAAAAGGGAACAACAUUCUCAGAGUUUUUCUUCUUUAACUCUAAAAAUUAAAAAUAAUAAUAUCAGUGGUUUUUAUAAAGGAAUUACUAUAGUUAAAAAGGCUGAAAAGAAAAAAUAUGAUGAUUUGUUUCAAGAAAGAAAGUGACUUACUUCAAAACGUCAUUUUAAAAUUUUUAUUCUUUAAUGAUAUUCUGGUGUUAUUACCAAAUGUUUAGCAGUAUGAAACCUAUAAUAUUAUAUACCAUACUAUAUACCCUAUUUUACUUAUAAAGUUAAUAAUCUGUAAAGUAAUUUGUAAAAAUUUUUUAAUUGUAAAAUUGCUACAUAAGAAGACAAGUUGUUAGAUGAAAUUCAAAUAUUUUCUAUGUUUGUGUUGUGUAGGUCAAAAAAUAAUAAACAAAGAUGACCAAGAGAUUCAUUUAAGACACAUCAAUCUUCAUCAUCUUUAAAUAAAAAGGAUAAACAUUAUGGAUUUCCAUUAUCUCAAGCAAGAAUUGUCAGAUUUCCUUCUAUUAGAAACAAAGAGUUCAAAGUAUUGGUGGUAAGAACUGUCAAAAACUUGUGAUAGCUAUGAUGAAGAGUUUUAUGACAAAUUCACU